GAACGGGGAUCCUUGGUUUCGGCUGGGGAUCCUAGUGGCGGACGGGUGAGUAACGCGUGGGGACCUGCCCCGAGCUCUGGGACAACCGCGGGAAACUGCGGCUAAUACCGGAUGAUGCCCUUCGCAAGGAGGGCCAAAGUCUCAUCGCGAGGUGGGGCGGCUUGGGAGGGGCCCGCGUCCGAUUAGCUGGUUGGUGGGGUAACGGCCCACCAAGGCUGUGAUCGGUAGCUGGUCUGAGAGGACGAUCGGCCACACUGGGACUGAGACACGGCCCAGACUCCUACGGGAGGCAGCAGUAGGGAAUCUUCCGCAAUGGACGAAAGUCUGACGGAGCAACGCCGCGUGAGUGAUGAAGGUUUUCGGA
RNAcentral lists this ribosomal RNA (364 nucleotides) under uncultured bacterium. RNAcentral describes it as "bacterial SSU rRNA". It matches the Rfam family "Bacterial small subunit ribosomal RNA", at positions 64 to 422 of the family's 1533-position model. The record is from RNAcentral.